ACUAAAGCUAGCCCAAACAUCAAGCAAUACGCCCAAAUAUAUCCCAAAUAUAAAUAAAACAUUCAUUUAAUAAAUAGUAUAGGAGAUAGAAAUUUUACUUUUGGCGCUAUAGAGAAAGUACCGUAAGGGAACGAGUGAAAGAAAUAUUAAAAGUACAAAACAGCAAAGAUUACCCCUUGUACCUUUUGCAUAAUGAAUUAACUAGAAUAACUUUAGCAAAGAGAACUUAAGUUAAAAACCCCGAAACCAGACGAGCUAUCCACAAACAGCCAACAGGGCGAACUCAUCUAUGUGGCAAAAUAGUGAGAAGAUUUUUGGAUAGAGGUGAAAAGCCUACCGAGCCUGGUGAUAGCUGGUUGUCCAGAUAAGAAUUUUAGUUCAACCUUAAAUUUACCAUAUAACCCUCAAAUUAUAAAUGUAAAUUUAACUGUUAAUCCAAAGGGGUACAGCUCUUUGGAAUAGGAUACAACCUUAAUUAGAGAGUAAGCAUAUAUCAACUACCAUAGUUGGCCUAAAAGCAGCCACCAAUUAAGAAAGCGUUCAAGCUCAACAAAUUAUAUUCAGCUUAAUGUAAUUAAUUAACUCAAACUCCUAAUACUAAACUGGACUAAUCUAUAUUAAUAUAGAAGCAAUACUGUUAAUAUGAGUAACAAGAUUUAAAUCUCCAAGCACAAGUAUACAUCAGAACUAAUACAUAACUGAUUAUUAACGGCCAAAUAAAUAAAACCCAUCAUAAAACAUUUAUUUUUUUUUUUCACCGUUAACCCGACACAGGUGUGCACUCAAGGAAAGAUUAAAAGAAGUAAAAGGAACUCGGCAAACGCAAACCCCGCCUGUUUACCAAAAACAUCACCUCUAGCAUUACUAGUAUUAGAGGCACUGCCUGCCCAGUGACAACUGUUUAACGGCCGCGGUAUCCUGACCGUGCAAAGGUAGCAUAAUCAUUUGUUCCCUAAAUAGGGACUUGUAUGAAUGGCCACACGAGGGUUUAACUGUCUCUUACUUCCAAUCAGUGAAAUUGACCUUUCCGUGAAGAGGCGGAAAUUUACCAAUUAGACGAGAAGACCCUAUGGAGCUUUAAUUUGUCUACUCCAAUAGAAUAUAUUAUUACCCAUACAGGAACAACACCUUAUUCUAACUGGAUAGAAAAUUUCGGUUGGGGUGACCUCGGAGCAUAAACUAACCUCCGAGAUUUUUUUACUAAGACUAACAAGUCAAAGUAUAACUAUAUCAAUUGAUCCAGUAUUACUGAUCAACGGAACAAGUUACCCUAGGGAUAACAGCGCAAUCCUAUUCUAGAGUUCUUAUCGACAAUAGGGUUUACGACCUCGAUGUUGGAUCAGGACAUCCUAAUGGUGUAGCAGCUAUUAAUGGUUCGUUUGUUCAACGAUUAAAGUCCUACGUGAUCUGAGUUCAGACCGGAGUAAUCCAGGUCGGUUUCUAUCUAUUCUGUAUUUCUCCCAGUACGAAAGGACAAGAGAAAUAGGGCCCACUCCAAACAAGCGCCCUCGAGUCAAUAAAUGAUAUUAUCUCAAUUUAGUUAACUCAACAAUUCCCCUACCUAAGACAAAGGUUUC
RNAcentral lists this ribosomal RNA (1577 nucleotides) under Cryptotis nigrescens (Blackish small-eared shrew). RNAcentral describes it as "16S ribosomal RNA". It matches the Rfam family "Bacterial large subunit ribosomal RNA", at positions 361 to 2837 of the family's 2925-position model. Lineage: Eukaryota; Metazoa; Chordata; Mammalia; Eulipotyphla; Soricidae. The record is from RNAcentral.